CAGUCGCCACGGUAAUGUGUAGGGCGCAAGCGUUAAUCGGAAUUACUGGGCGUAAAGCGUGCGCAGGCGGUUUGUUAAGACAGAUGUGAAAUCCCCGGGCCCAACCUGGGAACUGCAUUUGUGACUGGCAAGCUAGAGUGUGGCAGAGGGGGGUGGAAUUCCGCGUGUAGCAGUGAAAUGCGUAGAUAUGCGGAGGAACACCGAUGGCGAAGGCAGCCCCCUGGGCCAACACUGACGCUCAUGCACGAAAGCGUGGGGAGCAAACAGGAUUAGAUACCCCGGUAGUCCCUGUCUCUUAUAC
Molecule: ribosomal RNA, 301 nt
Filed under: uncultured bacterium
Lineage: Bacteria
Description: partial 16S ribosomal RNA
Rfam family: Bacterial small subunit ribosomal RNA
Source: RNAcentral